CGGUCGGGGGUUGCUUUUCCCGCUCCAGGACAAGUUGUCCCCGUUUUCGGGGGCUGUUCCCGGUUCAAAAUCGCGUUUCCCGGUUCAUGGUGGGAUUAUCCCAGUCCGGGACAAGCUGUCCCAGUUCCCGGCUGCUUUUCCCAGUUCAGGGUCACGUUCUCCCGCUCCAGGACAGGUUUUCCCGGUUCCCGGGUGUUAUUCCCGGUUCGGGAUCGCGUUUCCCGGUCCAGGACAACUUGUCCCGGUUUUUGGGGGCUGGUCCCAGUUCGGGGUCGCGUUUCCCGGUUCACAGCCCGGUUCUCCCGGUCCGGGAAAAGUUGUCCCGGUUCUUGGGGGCUGUUCCCAGUUGGGGAUCUCUUUUCCCAGUUCACACCCGGGUUCUCCCAGUCCGGGACUGGGUGUCCCGGUUCAGGGUCGGGUUAUCUCGCUCCAGGACAACUUGUCCCGGUUCCCGCGGACUAUUCCCGGUUCGGGAUCACUUUUCCCGCUUCAGGGUGGGAUUAUCCCAGUCCGGGACAAGCUGUCCCAGUUCCCGGGGCUGUUCCCAGUUCGAGAUCGCGUUUCCCGGUUCACAGCCCGGUUCUCCCGGUCCGGGAAAUGUUGUCCCGGUUUUGGGGGGUUGUUCCCAGUUCGGGAUCACUUUUCCUGGUUCAGGGUCGGGUUGUCCCGGUCCAGGACAAGUUCUCCCGGUUCCCGGGUGUUAUUCCCGGUUCGGGAUCGCGUUUCCCGGUUCACAGCCCGGUUCUCCCAGUCCGGGAAAAGUUGUCCCGGUUUUUGGUUUGUUUGUUUUUUUUUUGUUCCCGGUUCGAGAUUGCUUUUCCCAGUUCAGGGUCGGAUUCUCCCGGUCCAGGACAACUCGUCCCGGUUCCCGUUCCCGGUUCCCGCGGACUGUUCCCAGUUCGGGAUCUCUUUUCCCACUUCACCCCCGCGUUCUCCCGGUCCGGUCCGCGCUGUUCCCGCUCCCCUGCGCUUUUCCCGGUUCACCCCCCCGGCUCUCCCGCUCCAUUAUCACCGUUACUACAGUUAAUUAUUAUUUUCGGGGUGUGUCGGGUUUUUUUUUCCCGGUACCUUUCGCAGCUCCUGCUCGAUCUCCAGGGCGCGGGUGACGAUGGGGCCGCGCACCGCGUACUCCACGCGGCGGAUGGCGGGGUUCAUGGUGUCGGGGGUCAGCACCCGGCCCCGCCGGACGCCCCCCCCCCCCCCCCCCCCCCCCCCCCCCCCCCCCCCCCCCCCCCCCCCCCCCCCCCCCCCCCCCCCCCCCCCCCCCCCCCCCCCCCCCCCCC
This 1283-nucleotide long non-coding RNA is filed under the name Ficedula albicollis (Collared flycatcher). RNAcentral describes it as "lncRNA (ENSFALG00000025024.1)". The record is from RNAcentral. Lineage: Eukaryota; Metazoa; Chordata; Aves; Passeriformes; Muscicapidae.